ACUAUUACUUGCUUCCUUUAUCUUUUUGUUCAUAGUUUCCAGAGUGAUUUUUAUGUCUUUAAGAAAAAUUAAGUGAUGGAUCUGGCCUAUCAAGUAGCAUUGAGACCUCAAGACCAAAAUUUCUGAAGCUUUUUCAAGUUCUACAGCGAUGGGAUUUUUAUGAAUGAAGUAAGGAGCAGACACAAGAGGUCUUCAAGGAGAACACUUCAGCCUGUCCUGGAGACUCAAAGGAAGAGUGACCAAAUGGGAAUGUUCCUGAAAAAUUACACAGGGGGCACGAUGCAUUUGCUUACAUGUCCACCAUAGAAAAUUCACCCAAAUCAACAUGUCUCUAGAACUUAUAAACCUGGAACCAAACACCUGUCUCAAUAAGGUGUUGCUUUUUCAACUGAAACUUGACAUCACUUCUGAAAUGGCAUGUGUGACCAUAGAUGGUAUUCAAGUCAUUGAAGGUAUUCAAUCAUCAUUGAAGGUAUUCAAUCAUCAUUGAAGGUAUUCAAUCAUCAUUGAAGGUAAUGGGCACUUUGGCCUGCAGCAUCUGCCCUUUGGGACUGAAAACCUUUUCAGGCUUUUCUCUAAUCCUGCUCAGAUGCAGGAAUAUACUAUGAGAAUCCAAC
This 617-nucleotide long non-coding RNA is filed under the name Parus major (Great Tit). Its description in RNAcentral is "lncRNA (ENSPMJG00000001308.1)". The record is from RNAcentral. Lineage: Eukaryota; Metazoa; Chordata; Aves; Passeriformes; Paridae.